This 422-nucleotide ribosomal RNA is filed under the name uncultured prokaryote. RNAcentral's name for it is "bacterial SSU rRNA". It matches the Rfam family "Bacterial small subunit ribosomal RNA", at positions 355 to 774 of the family's 1533-position model. The record is from RNAcentral.
UGAGGAAUAUUGGGCAAUGCCCGCAAGGGUGACCCAGCAACGCCGCGUGGAGGAUGAAGGUCGUAAGAUUGUAAACUCCUGUUAGAGGGGAAGAACAGCACCGAUUGGAUCGGUGUUUGACUGUACCCUCAGAGAAAGCCCCGGCUAACUACGUGCCAGCAGCCGCGGUAAUACGUAGGGGGAAAGCGUUGUCCGGAUUUACUGGGUGUAAAGGGCGCGCAGGCGGGAUAGCAAGUCAGAGGGUCAAUCCUACAGCUUAACUGUAGAACUGCCUUUGAUACUGUUAUUCUUGAGUUCGGGAGAGAGAGACGGAAUUCCAGGUGUAGUGGUGAAAUACGUAGAUAUCUGGAAGAACACCAGUUGCGAAGGCGGUCUCUUGGUCCGAUACUGACGCUGAGGCGCGAAAGCGUGGGGAGCAAACA